CUUCUACCACUCCCAAAAUCAUAUGAUUCUUUAAGUAUUCUGAACAACUUUGAUCAACCAAUCAGUUUCGACUCAUGUGCAUCACUGUACGUUAAUAUAAAAUCAAAUCAUCCAACAGCAAAUCAUGUGCAGCAAUCUCAGGUGCUUAGUUUACUUAGAUACCAAACUUAAUCAAUCAAUUAAUUUUUAUUUUUUUUAAGAAGUGGGUGUUUCUNNNNNNNNNNNNNNNNNNNNNNNNNNNNNNAGCAGUGGACAAAAUAUUAGUGGAAAUUCUUUUCGAAGGUUCAAUGAUGAAAGUUGAAACUCAAUAAAGCGGCAAGCUCUCUCCGCCUCUCUUUUUCUGUUGAAAUUGAAGAGGCCAACCCACCUUCCUUAGUUAUUACAAGAAACAGACAAAACUAGGCUUCCUCUCCUAAACAAAGUAAGGAAUUUUUCCUUUAAAUUAAUGCAAAAGCAUUUGCUUAUAUUUCUCCAAUACAUCUUAUUGUUGGCUUUUAAUUUUGUUUAGGAUGAGAAUUGCUUAUAGAAUGAUUGCAUGUGGGAGCAGCAGAGUGGUUUGACCAUCGAGUACUUGAAAUUCUUUCAAAGAAGCUUUAAUUGAAUUUUUUGUGGCAGAAAUUUUAGGACAGUGAUUUGAGUGGAAGAUACGCUUC
This 653-nucleotide long non-coding RNA is filed under the name Manihot esculenta (cassava). RNAcentral's name for it is "long non-coding RNA (MESC_LNC000013)". The record is from RNAcentral. Lineage: Eukaryota; Viridiplantae; Streptophyta; Magnoliopsida; Malpighiales; Euphorbiaceae.